This 324-nucleotide unclassified non-coding RNA is filed under the name soil metagenome. RNAcentral's name for it is "partial contains 5.8S ribosomal RNA, internal transcribed spacer 2, and large subunit ribosomal RNA". The stretch from base 1 to 120 matches the Rfam family "5.8S ribosomal RNA", at positions 35 to 154 of the family's 154-position model. The record is from RNAcentral.
GAUGAAGAACGUAGCGAAAUGCGAUAAGUAGUGUGAAUUGCAGAAUUCAGUGAAUCAUCGAAUCUUUGAACGCGCAUUGCGCCCCUUGGUAUUCCAUGGGGCAUGCCUGUUCGAGCGUCAUUUGUACCUUCAAGCUUUGCUUGGUGUUGGGUGUUUGUCCUGAGGGACUCGCCUUAAAGUAAUUGGCAGCCAGUGUUUUGGUUUUGAAGCGCAGCACAAGUCGCGAUUCAAGGCUAUACGCCAGCUUCCACAAGCCUUUUUCACUUUUGACCUCGGAUCAGGUAGGGAUACCCGCUGAACUUAAGCAUAUCAAUAAGCGGAGGA